UGGGUUGUAGCUCAGUGGUAGAGUGCUUGUCUAGCACAUGUGAGGCACUGGGUUCCAUCCUCAGCACCACAU
This 72-nucleotide transfer RNA is filed under the name Marmota marmota marmota (Alpine marmot). It matches the Rfam family "tRNA". From Rfam's summary of the family: Transfer RNA (tRNA) molecules are approximately 80 nucleotides in length. Their secondary structure includes four short double-helical elements and three loops (D, anti-codon, and T loops). RNAcentral also lists the same sequence under 1 other name. The record is from Rfam by way of RNAcentral. Lineage: Eukaryota; Metazoa; Chordata; Mammalia; Rodentia; Sciuridae.